RNAcentral lists this transfer RNA (75 nucleotides) under Bacteroidales bacterium. RNAcentral describes it as "tRNA-His". It matches the Rfam family "tRNA". From Rfam's summary of the family: Transfer RNA (tRNA) molecules are approximately 80 nucleotides in length. Their secondary structure includes four short double-helical elements and three loops (D, anti-codon, and T loops). Further hydrogen bonds mediate the characteristic L-shaped molecular structure. tRNAs have two regions of fundamental functional importance: the anti-codon, which is responsible for specific mRNA codon recognition, and the 3' end, to which the tRNAs corresponding amino acid is attached (by aminoacyl-tRNA synthetases). tRNAs cope with the degeneracy of the genetic code in two manners: having more than one tRNA (with a specific anti-codon) for a particular amino acid; and 'wobble' base-pairing, i.e. permitting non-standard base-pairing at the 3rd anti-codon position. The record is from RNAcentral. Lineage: Bacteria; Pseudomonadati; Bacteroidota; Bacteroidia; Bacteroidales. RNAcentral also lists the same sequence under 4 other names.
GGUGGUUUUAGCUCAGUUGGUAGAGCAUCGGAUUGUGGUUCCGAGUGUCAAGGGUUCGAGCCCCUUACUCCACCC